AGUGAACGCUGGCGGUAGGCCUAACACAUGCAAGUCGAACGGCAGCACAGUAAGAGCUUGCUCUUACGGGUGGCGAGUGUCGGACGGGUGAGGAAUACAUCGGAAUCUACUUUUUCGUGGGGGAUAACGUAGGGAAACUUACGCUAAUACCGCAUAUGACCUACGGGUGAAAGCAGGGGAUCUUCUGACCUUGCGCGAUUGAAUGAGCCGAUGUCGGAUUAGCUAGUUGGCGGGGUAAAGUCCCACCAAGGCGACGAUCCGUAGCUCGUCUGAGAGGAUGAUCCGCCACAAUGGAACCGAAAAACGGUCCAGAGCCCUACGGGAGGCAGCAGUGGGGAAUUGUGGCCAAUGGGCGGAAGCCUGAUCCAGGCAUACCGCGUGGGUGAAGAAGGCCUUCGGGUUGUAAAGACCUUUUGUUGGGAAAGAAAAGCAGCAGGUUGAUACCCCGCUGUUCUGACGGUACCCAAAGAAUAAGCACCGGCUAACUUCGUG
This 492-nucleotide ribosomal RNA is filed under the name uncultured bacterium. RNAcentral describes it as "partial 16S ribosomal RNA". It matches the Rfam family "Bacterial small subunit ribosomal RNA", at positions 29 to 507 of the family's 1533-position model. The record is from RNAcentral.